AGGAUGAACGCUGGCGGCGUGCCUAAUACAUGCAAGUCGAGCGGCAGCGCGGUCUUCGGACUGGCGGCGAGCGGCGGACGGCUGAGUAACACGUAGGAACGUACCCCAAAGUGAGGGAUAAGCACCAGAAAUGGUGUCUAAUACCGCAUGUGCUCUAAGGAGUAAAGCUUCGGCGCUUUGGGAACGGCCUGCGCAUGAUUAGCUUGUUGGUGAGGUAAUGGCUCACCAAGGCGACGAUCAUUAGCUGGUCUGAGAGGAUGAUCAGCCAGACUGGGACUGAGAACGGCCCAGACUCCUACGGGAGGCAGCAGUAGGGAAUUUUCCACAAUGGGCGAAAGCCUGAUGGAGCAACGCCGCGUGCAGGAUGAAGGCUUUCGGGUCGUAAACUGCUUUAUAUGUGAAGAAUAUGACGGUAGCAUAUGAAUAAGGAUCGGCUAACUCCGUGCCAGCAGCCGC
This 456-nucleotide ribosomal RNA is filed under the name uncultured bacterium. RNAcentral's name for it is "SSU rRNA". It matches the Rfam family "Bacterial small subunit ribosomal RNA", at positions 26 to 518 of the family's 1533-position model. The record is from RNAcentral.